RNAcentral lists this long non-coding RNA (1274 nucleotides) under Jatropha curcas. RNAcentral's name for it is "long non-coding RNA (JCUR_LNC001011)". The record is from RNAcentral. Lineage: Eukaryota; Viridiplantae; Streptophyta; Magnoliopsida; Malpighiales; Euphorbiaceae.
UAAUAAAGGAAAGAUAUAAAACCAUAAAAGAGUAACACUCAUUAUAUAUAUAACAGUAUUCAACAUAAGAACAACCAACUAGGGGCCGGUGCUCAGAUGGUACGUACAAGCCAAAAUACAAACACUAAAAGAACAGAAGACUAAACCUCCGUUUCUUAUUCCCAACAUUUUAUCUAUUAAUGCUGGUCAGUAACCAGACACUUGAUUAAUUAGUUCUCAGUUGGAGGCUUGUGCGGUGGCUUUUGGGGCGGCUUAUGGGGUGGCAGGUGUUUUAAUGGUGGUUUCUCUCCCUUUCCUUUAUAUGAAUCCUCAACUAACUCUUCCUCAGCCAAAAGAUGUCCAUGUGGUGGCUUGUGGGGUGGCUUGUGUUUUGGUACUGGUUUCUGUCCCUUUCCUUUAUAUGAAUCCUCGGCUAGCUCUUCCUCAGCCAAAAGAUGUCCAUGUGGCGGCUUAUGCUUUGGUGGUGGCUUAUUACCCUUAUGUGAGUCCUCUACAACCUCUGUAGCUAAAAGACGUCUGAGGGGUGGUUUGUGCUCUGGUGGUGGCUUGUGCGGUGGUUUGUGCUCGGAUGAUGGCUUUUGAGGUGGAAAAUUCUUAGGAGGUGGUUUCUCUCCCUUACCCUUAAAUGGCGGUUUUUGGAAGUCCUCUACGCUAUCCUCGCUUAAUAGGUGCCCAUGUGGUGGCUUGUGUGGUGGUUUGUGCUCUGGUGUUGGCUUUUGAGGUGGAAAAUUCUUAGGUGGUGGCUUUUGAGGUGGAAAAUUCUUAGGAGGUGGGUUCUCUCCCUUACCCUUAAAUGGUGGUUUUUGGAAGUCCUCUUCGCUAUCCUCACUUAAUAGGUGACCAUGUGGUGGCUUGUGUGGGGGGUUGUGCUCUGGGGGUGGCUUUUGAGGUGGGAAAUUCUUAGGUGGUGGCUUUUGAGGUGGAAAAUUCUUAGGAGGUGGGUUCUCUCCCUUACCCUUAAAUGGUGGUUUUUGGAAGUCCUCUUCGCUAUCCUCACUUAAUAGGUGACCAUGUGGUGGCUUGUGUGGUGGGUUGUGGUCUGGUGUUGGCUUUUGAGGUGGAAAAUUCUUAGGAGGUGGUUUCUCUCCCUUACCCUUGUAAGGUGGAUCAUGGACAUCCUCUACAUUAUCCUCACUUAACAGAUGACCAUGUGGUGGCUUGUGCUGUGAGUGGUGGUGAUCAUAAUGAUCAGCUAAUGAAGAAGAAAUGGAGAGAAUCACGACUGCUCCAAUAAGGAGCAACACUCGCAAGUUUUUAGAAGAGAACAUGUUUGA